Catharus ustulatus (Swainson's thrush) is the source of this 271-nucleotide long non-coding RNA. RefSeq lists it as uncharacterized. The transcript has 3 exons. The record is from RefSeq and is a predicted model, not a curated record. NCBI's taxonomy places the organism in Eukaryota, Metazoa, Chordata, Aves, Passeriformes, Turdidae.
CGCAAGUCCUGGCUGCACAAGGAGUCCCAGGCCAUCCUGAAAGGGGAGAACAGACAUUCACCACCAGCCAGAGGAAAUUGGGAAGUUCCUACUACUGUCUGGAAUUCUAGAUGCAAUUAUUAGCACAGUGAAAAAGCCCAGCCCUUGAUAAGCCAGCACAAGACUACUGCUUUCACAUGGAAAGAGCAAUACUCUCCUACAGGCCUUUGGCAGCAGAUGCUCUGGUUCCUUUCCUCUCUUCAUUCAGCUUAAUGUCCAAGUCCUGGAGCUG